UCCGUUGUAGCUCAGAGGUAGAGCACCCGGCUAGGGGCCGGGAGGACGCCGGUUCGAGCCCGGUCAACAGAU
Molecule: transfer RNA, 72 nt
Filed under: Micromonospora matsumotoense
Lineage: Bacteria; Bacillati; Actinomycetota; Actinomycetes; Micromonosporales; Micromonosporaceae
Description: tRNA_Pro_AGG
Rfam family: tRNA
About the family: Transfer RNA (tRNA) molecules are approximately 80 nucleotides in length. Their secondary structure includes four short double-helical elements and three loops (D, anti-codon, and T loops).
Source: RNAcentral